GUGGGACAUGACAGCACGGUUAUCUAGGUAAAAAUGUAUAUAAGCUGUGUUUAGUAGUGAAUAAACGCCAUUUGCCUCACUUACUCCUGGGGUCUGGGUGAGCAUCUGGCCCCGACCUGGUAAAGGGUCGGUUUCGCCCAGCAGUAAGCCCUACAUGUGGACAGAGGACGAACACCGGAUGAGCGAACGGAGACUACAUGCAACAAGUGGUGACCCCGACGUGAUCUGUCUGCUGAGGGUGGCUGCCCGGCGUGCCCGUGACGCGGAGAAGAGCCUGUGAGGUGGCGGCAGGUCGCGCACGGAAGACGUAUUGCGGUUAAGAGCCUGCGAGGUGGCGGCAGGUCGCAUACGUAACAAUGGACCAAGUCAUUAAGGUACUUGUGCAGUUUUGUAAGGACUACUGUGGAAAAUCUGCUCCUUCCCGGAAGGAGAUCGCGGCAGUUUUGUCGCUGUUAAAUGAGCUGGGGGAGCUGGACUCUCCCCGCUACGUUUUGGAUUCGAGUAGGUGGGACUUGCUCACCUCGGCGCUAUGCCAGCGCGCCAUGGCCAGUCAGAAGGCUACGGAACUUAAAACGUGGGGACUGAUAUUAGGAGCCCUUAAAGCGGCCAGAGUUGAGGGAAAGGUAUUGGUGGAGGCUCGAUACCUUUUGGGUCUCAGCGGAGGAGACCGAAGCCAACUCCAGAACAACUGAGGGACAGACGAUGGGAUCAAGAACCAUUCGUCAAGAGGAGCACUACACCUGCAACGCUGACACUUCCGAUGUUGCUGAUAUUUAUGGUGUCCAUGGCGAUUACAGAGUGUCACAAACAACUACAAUGGACACAAGAACAUAUGCAGAAGAUUAAAGAAGAGCGUGAUCCCUUUGGAAGCUGGCUGGACGGACUGUUUGGGGGAACGGGUUCAUGGUUAAAGCAAUUGCUUAAAGCUCUCGCAGUAGGAUUUGCAAUCUUUGUGUGUAUUCUAAUCUGUCUUCCAUGCUUUGUAGGAUGCUUGCCUUCAACGAAUGAUGGAAAAGACUUUUGACUAUCACAUUGAGUAUCAUAGAUUGCGUGAAAAAUUAUAGAGGGGUUUAGGUUGUUGCGUUCGUGCUGUAACGGGGCAAGGCUUGGCCGAGCACGGAAAAGAAUUCCCUGUUGCUCUGAUGAUUGCUUAAGAACUGUAGUAGAAAAUAGUAGGAAUAGUGUGCUGAAAUAUAUUUAGGAUUAGGCGUUUUGCGCUGCUUCGCGAUGUACGGGUUAGGUGUGUGUGUAAGUAGUAUUUAGCUUAGGGAGGGGGAGAUGUUGUAGUAGGCGUCUUGCGGGGGCACGGGAUGUACGGGACAGGCCUCUCCCUAAACAUAGAGAGAUAGUGCUAUCGUGCUGACCUUGUUGCAGAGAAAACAGGAGAAGAAGAAGGAUGAUAAAAGAAUGUGGAAACGGCCAAAUAAGGCACAAUGUUAUCUGGUGUGAACUAAUCAGAGUGGGACAUGACAGCACGGUUAUCUAGGUAAAAAUGUAUAUAAGCUGUGUUUAGUAGUGAAUAAACGCCAUUUGCCUCACUUACUCCUGGGGUCUGGGUGAGCAUCUGGCCCCGACCUGGUAAAGGGUCGGUUUCGCCCAGCAGUAAGCCCUACAUGUGGACAGAGGACGAACACCGGAUGAGCGAACGGAGACUACAUGCAACACACUCUGGAUACAUUUUUUCUUCUAAAUGCAUGUCACUAUUUUGUGCAUCAAGAGCAGGUUUUAUAAUCCACUUGCUUCUGAUAGACAAAACUGUUCUCAUGUAGUUUCAUUGAUUUCAAGGAAGUUUAAUGUCUUCUUUAUGUAAAUGUAAAUAACUGAACAAGUUUUAGCUCUGGUAGCUGAAAUAUUUUCAGUGCUCAGUUAAGGGAACAAAAAAAAGUUGAUCUUUCUCAUUUUUAGGAUUGUGACAUAGGCAGGAACAAAUAGUUCAAAAAUAGAGAGCAGGGCAUUCUGAAGAAAGACAUAGAAGUAACUUUUAGUGGGUUUUUGUUUGUUUUUGUUACUUUUUGUAUUAUUUAUAAGAUACUUUUUUUCUACUUUUUUCUGGGUUUCAUCUGUUGGUUGAAUCAUUAAUAAAAGUAAAGCUUUGAUAUCUUUACUGAUAGUCACAUAUGGAAUCAAGUCACCUUUGAAAAUAGAAUUAUGAAGUUUACAUAAAUAAUAUUUAAUUUUUUUUUUGUUUGAAUCUUUUGUUGUUUUUGUUGUUUUCACUUCCAUGCUCUUUUUGUGUUGUUGUUUUCAGUUAUUAAAAUGUUCUUUUCUUAAUAGCACCUUACAUAUCAUUAGGAAAAAAAAAAACAUACAUUAAUAGCAAAGGCGUGCUAACUCAUAGUAGCACCCACAAAUUUCUCAGCUAUUGAUAACAGCCCAUACGGAAUAUAUUACUUGGUUUAGGGAGAAGAUUAAGAGGAAGCUAGUUAGACUAUCUGCUAUUUGGUUCUUCAUCUUGCAUUUGCAAGAUGACCCCUUUUUAAAGGGCUCUAUUAUCAAUGGAUGAAAAAGGAAGCUUUUCUUCUUUCCAAUCUGAGAUCCUCAUUUAGGCACUUCAGCUAAUUUCCUAAAGAUAGGUGGAUUGUUACAACCUCAGAAUGAGUAGUAUAACUCUUUCAUUUCUGUUCCACAGUUUGUACAUCUUUAAAAAGAAUGUUAAUUGCCUGGACCAGAAAUAUAGGUGAUUGACUUCUUAAAAGAUCUGGUUUUGGAUGCUGUGUCCGAAAGUCAGUACAUAAAUCUACAUCUAGGAAACUAAAAAUGAUUUGGCUUUCAGAGUGCUGAAUCACUUCAGAAACCUGGGACUGCAUACCUUACUUUAUUUAGUGUAGCUGUACAUGUAUAAAAAGAUGCCUGUCCAUUGGAAGACACAGAUGUCAACAGUAAAUACUGGAAAGUGUUUUCUUCAGUUUCCAGGACAGCUUGUUGAAAUCCUAACAGUUAUUAGCUGUUACUAUGCAGCAAGCCUGCUCAUUGAAAAAAAUCAAUGUGUUGAAUGUUCUGC
Molecule: long non-coding RNA, 3001 nt
Organism: Gallus gallus (chicken)
Lineage: Eukaryota; Metazoa; Chordata; Aves; Galliformes; Phasianidae
Source: Ensembl